Molecule: ribosomal RNA, 406 nt
Filed under: uncultured bacterium
Lineage: Bacteria
Description: partial 16S ribosomal RNA
Rfam family: Bacterial small subunit ribosomal RNA
Source: RNAcentral
AUCGAACGCUGGCGGCAGGCCUAACACAUGCAAGUCGAACGAGUGGCGGACGGGUGAGUAAUGUCUGGGAAAUUGCCUGAUGGAGGGGGAUAACUACUGGAAACGGUAGCUAAUACCGCAUACUAUCGGAUGUGCCCAUAUGGGAUUAGCUGGUUGGUGGGGUAAAGGCGCACCUAGGCGACGAUCCCUAGCUGGUCUGAGAGGAUGACGAGCGACACUGGAACUGUGACACGGUCCAGACGCCUACGGGAGGCAGCAGUGGGGAAUAUUGCGCAAUGUGCGCAAGCCUGAUGCAGCCAUGCCGCGUGUAUGAAGAAGGCCUUCGGGUUGUAAAGUUCUUUCAGCUGGGAGGCGUUACCCGCAGAAGAAGCACCGGCUAACUCCGUGCCAGCAGCCGCGGUAAUUC